UGAUAUGGCAUGGUAUUUGGCUUUCGGAGUGCAACAAUAUUGGGUAAGGGCCGUCGUGUCUAGUUCGGAAGCAAAACGUUCACAAUCAGACUCAGAAGUGAACAAGCGCUAGCUAGAUUGCUUGGGCUGCUGUCUCAAGGAGGCAGACCGGAAUCUUGUUAGGACAGCCUGUGAGGACACCGCACCCUUCUGACGUGGUAGUCCCGUGUAGUUCAGUUGGCAGAGCAUGGAGCUUGCAAUGUCAUGGUUGUAGUUUCUAUUUCCAAUGGUGACCAGUAGGAAAAUGUAUUGAGUAAAAUGCAUCAGGUUAAAUUAUUCCCUGCCUAUGUUCUGCCAGGUUUUUGGGGAUUAAUAAACGAAUUCAUUAAUAUGUUGAUCAGUUAAAGCCAGGCACUUGCUUGAUUUGUUUAUCUAGUGCAAUGGCAACAGUAAAGAGCAAAGUCAUUCUUGUCUCUGACAACAGUAUGUUUCCCCUGUGUGACUUUACUAGGCUGUGUGAAUAGGCUAUUUAACGCAAACAUGUUCAGUCAAGUGAAGAAGUCUUUCGUACACUUAGCGUCACUGCAAGCUGAGGACCUAUCUGAAAUAAACAUAUACAGUUGAAGUUGGAAGUUUACAUACACUUAGGUUGGAGUCAUUAAAACGUGUUUUUCAACAACCACCCCAGUCUUGUUAACAAUAUUGGAGCAACAUCUCAAGACAUCAUCAGUCAGGAAGUUAAAGCUUUGUCUCAAAUGGGCCUUCCAAAUGAACAAUGACCCCUAGCAUACUUCCAAAGUUGUGGCAAAAUGGCUUAAGGACAACAAAGUCAAUUUGUUGGAGUGGCCAUCACAAAGCCCUGACCUCAACCCUAUAGAAAAUUUGUGGGCAGAACUGUAAAAGUGUUCGAGCAAGGAGGCCAACAAACCUGACUCAGCUCUGUCAGGAGGAAUGGGCCAAAAUUCACCAAAUUUAUUGUGGGAAGCUUGUGGAAGGCUACCCAAAAUUAUUUACCCAAGUUAAACAAUUUAAAGGCAAUGCUACCAAAUACUAAUUGAGUGUAUGUAAACUUCUGACCCACUGGGAAUGUGGUGAAAGAAAUAAAAGCUGAAAACAUUCUCCCUACUAUUAUUCUGACACUUCACAUUCUUAAAAUAAAGUGAUCCUAACUGAACUAAGACAGAGAAUUUUUACUUGGAUUAAAUGUUAGGAAUUGUGAAAACUGAGUUUAAAUGUAUUUGGCUAAGGUGUAUGUAAACUUCUGACUUCAACUGUACAUUGUACUUGUCAUUGCUAAUGUGAAAUAUGAGAUUUUUUUUAUGCUUGAAAUAACUCAUAUUCUUUACAAAUGUUAUAUUAUCUAAAGUACACAUGUCAUUUCAUUGAGGCAGAGGUGUUUCUUAGCAUUUAAGCACAACUCAUCUUGAAGGUUCCGGUAGUUGCAUUUCAUCAACACUAGAGGGCAGUGUUGUAUAGUCAUGUGCUUGUAUCUAAAAUUAUGUAAAUCAAAUCCUAGUAAUCGAUUCUCAAUUCAAGUUUGUCUGGUUUUACAGACCCUGUCUUUACUUUGUUACUACAACCCCUCCAGCGUUUCUCUCAUCUUAUCAAGUAGCAUAAGCUGCCAUAUGUUGUCUAAUGGUAUAGAAGACCCAUUCUCAUUGAAAAGCAAGUCUAGGACGCAGGUGAUGUGGUCUAUGUGCCCUAUUUAUAUGCUUUCCGUUUUAGUUUAAUUUUUACGUCUUUCAGUUUUGUACACCAAGCUUCAAAUGGCUAAAAUUACAAUAUUUUUGGUUAUGGAAAAUAUAUUUCACAGCGGUUUAAAUGGUACAAUGAUACUAUACUUGCUUGUUUUAUUACUGAAACUGAAAUAAGGUGCGAUUUCUGCGUAGUGCAUCUUUAUUAACACGUAUCAUGAGCGUUGAGACGUACCAAGGAUGGUUGGAAGUGGCCGGAGGCUUUUUCUUAUUUUUUUUCUUCACAUGACUAACAAUCUAUGGACACAUUUACCCACUGAUAAUAAGUCAAUUGUUUGUGAGAUGAAAGUGUUUUGGACAUAACUCAAAUGUGUGACCGGUGCUUUUACUUUAAAGAAAAAAGUUCUAAACAAUUUUGCUGCAGAUCUUGAUUUCUUUGAAUGCAGUUUGUCUAUUUUGCUUAACGUUUAAUGCAAUAUGAAUUCAAGAUAAGUGUAUCAUGAGUAAAUAAAGUUGAAACAACCAGGUAUCUCCGUACUCCUACGGCCAUAACCAUGGACCCUCCCACUCCCACCGUCAUGUCCGAGACUGCCAGCCCGUUGUCCAUGGCAACGUCGCCCACCAGCAACCACACUGGGGUGCCCGCGGCUGAGUCCAAAGUCUUCAUCUCUGACGUCCCUGGCACAACCCGAUGGGUCACAGGUCACAUUGUGCUGGAGCCCAGGGGGUGCGGGGUGAACCAGCGGGAGGCAGUGGAGGAAACGGCUAACAACGCCAGGUGUCUCUGUGCCCAGAAUGGAGGGUUCUUUGGUACUAGGACUGGGGAGUGUUUGGGGAAUGUAGUCAGUGACGGGGUGCAAGUGAGGGACAGCCGAGGGGAGCAGAAUGCCCAGUUUGGCAUCAGGAGGGACGUUACACUGUUUUUUGGGGAAUUUCCACGAUGAGGAGGGGAAACUGAUCCUGUCUUUUAUUUAACGAG
Molecule: RNA transcript, 2652 nt
Organism: Oncorhynchus keta (chum salmon)
Lineage: Eukaryota; Metazoa; Chordata; Actinopteri; Salmoniformes; Salmonidae
Gene name: N-acetylglucosamine-1-phosphodiester alpha-N-acetylglucosaminidase-like
Exons: 3
Source: RefSeq, a predicted model, not a curated record